GUUUAUAUGGUAGAAUAGACUUGUAGAGAAGUUAUGACGGUGGCUAUCCAAUUGGAAGAGAGGUGGUGCGUAUGAACGUACUUCCAAAAUCUAAAGAAAGGAGAAGCCUGUUGUCUGCAUUUGAAACAAUUCAGAUCAUUUUAAGUUUUGGUAUGUUUACCAUUGCUUUAAUUGGUUUGGU
Molecule: small RNA, 181 nt
Organism: Melissococcus plutonius ATCC 35311
Lineage: Bacteria; Bacillati; Bacillota; Bacilli; Lactobacillales; Enterococcaceae
Rfam family: Listeria sRNA rli28
Source: Rfam